CCUACGGGAGGCAGCAGUGAGGAAUAUUGGUCAAUGGCCGUAAGGCUGAACCAGCCAAGCCGCGUGAAGGAAGAAGGAUCUAUGGUUUGUAAACUUCUUUUAUAGGGGAAUAAAGGUAUCCUCGUGUGGAUAUUUGCAUGUACCCUAUGAAUAAGCAUAGGCUAACUCCGUGCCAGCAGCCGCGGUAAUACGGUAGGUCCGGGCGUUAUCCGGAUUUAUUGGGGUGAAAGGGAGCGUAGGCCGCAUGUCAAGCGUGCGGUGAAAUGUCCGGGCGCAACCCGGGCCUUGCAGCGGGAACGGGCGUGCUUGAGUCCGCGGAAAGCAGGCGGAAUUCGGCGUGUAGCGGUGAAAUGCUUAGAUAUGACGAAGAACCCCGAUGGCGAAGGCAGCUUGCUGCAGCGGAACUGACGCUGAUGCUCGAAAGCGCGGGUAGCGAACAGGAUUAGAUACCCCGGUAGUC
Molecule: ribosomal RNA, 460 nt
Filed under: uncultured bacterium
Lineage: Bacteria
Description: partial 16S ribosomal RNA
Rfam family: Bacterial small subunit ribosomal RNA
Source: RNAcentral